UCAAGUCCUCAUGGCCCUUAUGGUAGGGCUUCACACGUCAUACAAUGGUCGGUACAGAGGGUUGCCAAACCGCGAGGUGGAGCCAAUCCCUUAAAGCCGAUCGUAGUCCGGAUCGUAGUCUGCAACUCGACUACGUGAAGUCGGAAUCGCUAGUAAUCGCAGAUCAGCAUGCUGCGGUGAAUACGUUCCCGGGUCCUU
This 198-nucleotide ribosomal RNA is filed under the name uncultured Thauera sp. RNAcentral describes it as "partial 16S ribosomal RNA". It matches the Rfam family "Bacterial small subunit ribosomal RNA", at positions 1185 to 1382 of the family's 1533-position model. Lineage: Bacteria; Pseudomonadati; Pseudomonadota; Betaproteobacteria; Rhodocyclales; Zoogloeaceae. The record is from RNAcentral.